UGUAUAAAGUGAAACGAGAUACUAAAGACAU
This 31-nucleotide non-coding RNA is filed under the name Mus musculus (house mouse). The record is from RNAcentral. Lineage: Eukaryota; Metazoa; Chordata; Mammalia; Rodentia; Muridae.